This 503-nucleotide ribosomal RNA is filed under the name uncultured bacterium. RNAcentral describes it as "partial 16S ribosomal RNA". It matches the Rfam family "Bacterial small subunit ribosomal RNA", at positions 30 to 523 of the family's 1533-position model. The record is from RNAcentral.
AUUGAACGCUGGCGGCAGGCUUAACACAUGCAAGUCGAGCGGGGUGAUGGUGCUUGCACUAUCACUUAGAGGCGGACGGGUGAGUAAUGCUUAGGAAUCUGCCUAUUAGUGGGGGACAACAUCUCGAAAGGGAUGCUAAUACCGCAUACGUCCUACGGGAGAAAGCAGGGGAUCACUUGUGACCUUGCGCUAAUAGAUGAGCCUAAGGCGGACUAGCUAGUUGGUGGGGUAAAGGCCUACCAAGGCGACGAUCUGUAGCGGGUCUGAGAGGAUGACCCGCCACACUGGGACUGACGCACGGCCCGCAAUGCGACGGGAGGCAGCAGUGGGGAAUAUUGGAAAAUAGCGGUAACGCUGAUCCAGCCAUGCCUCGUGGGUGAAGAAAUCCUUGUGGUUGUAAAGCACUUUAAGCGAGGAGGAGGCUCUUUUGGUUAAUACCCAAGAUGAGUCGACGUUACUCGCAGAAUACUCACCGGCUAACUCGGUGCCAGCCGCCGCCGUAA